CCUACGGGCGGCAGCAGUGGGGAAUAUUGCACAAUGGGGGAAACGCUGAUGCAGCGACGCCGCGUGAGUGAAGAAGUAUUUCGGUACGUAAAGCUCUAUCAGCAGGGAAGAAAAUGACGGUACCUGACCAAGAAGCCCCGACUAACUACGUGCCAGCAGCCGCGUUAAGACGUAGGGGGCGAGCGUUAACCGGAUUUACUGGGGGUAAAGGGAGGGUAGACGGCAGCGCAAGUCUGGAGGGAAAUCCCAUGGCUUAACCAUGGAACUGCUUUUGAAACGGGCGAGCUAGAGUGCAGGAGAGGUAGGCGGAAUUCGUAGUGUAGCGGUGAAAUGCGUAGAUAUCAGGAAGAACACCAGUGGCGAAGGCAGCUUACUGGACUGUAACUGACGUUGAGGCUCGAAAGCGUGGGGAGCAAACAGGAUUAGAUACCCCGGUAGUG
This 440-nucleotide ribosomal RNA is filed under the name uncultured bacterium. Its description in RNAcentral is "partial 16S ribosomal RNA". It matches the Rfam family "Bacterial small subunit ribosomal RNA", at positions 338 to 795 of the family's 1533-position model. The record is from RNAcentral.